This 487-nucleotide ribosomal RNA is filed under the name uncultured bacterium. Its description in RNAcentral is "bacterial SSU rRNA". It matches the Rfam family "Bacterial small subunit ribosomal RNA", at positions 28 to 521 of the family's 1533-position model. The record is from RNAcentral.
GAUGAACGCUAGCGGCAGGCUUAACACAUGCAAGUCGAGGGGCAGCAUGAGACGGAGAUUCGUCAAAGUCUUGAUGGCGACCGGCGCAAGGGUGCGUAACGCGUGAGCAACUUGCCCGUUUCAGGGGGAUAACCGGUGGAAACGCCGACUAAUACCCCAUAGUAUUGAUUUAAGGCAUCUUUUAUCAAUUAAAGAAUUUCGGAAACGGAUAGGCUCGCGUGACAUUAGCUAGAUGGCGGGGUAACGGCCCACCAUGGCAACGAUGUCUAGGGGUUCUGAGAGGAAGGUCCCCCACACUGGAACUGAGACACGGUCCAGACUCCUACGGGAGGCAGCAGUGAGGAAUAUUGGUCAAUGGGCGAAAGCCUGAUGCAGCGACGCCGCGUGAGUGAAGAAGUAUUUCGGUAUGUAAAGCUCUAUCAGCAGGGAAGAAAAUGACGGUACCUGACUAAGAAGCCCCGGNUAACUACGUGCCAGCAGCCGCGGU